GAUGAACGCUGGCGGCGUGCCUAAUACAUGCAAGUCGAGCGAACAGACGAGAAGCUUGUUCCUCUGACGUUAGCGGCGGACGGGUGAGUAACACGUGGAUAACCUACUUAUUUGACUGGGGUAAAUUCGGGAAACCGGAGACACUACUGGCUCAUAUAUUGAACGGCAUGGUUCAGUAGUGCAUGACGGUUUUGCUGUCACAUUUAGAUGGAUCCGGGUCGCAUUAGCUAGUUGGUAAGGUAACGGCUUACCAAGGCGACGAUGCGUAGCUGACCUGAGAGGGUGAUCAGCCACACUGGAACUGAGACACGGUCCAGACUCCUACGGGAGGCAGCAGUAGGGAAUCUUCCACAAUGGGCGAAAGCCUGACGGAGCAACGCCGCGUGAGUGAUGAAGGUCUUCGGAUCGUAAAACUCUGUUAUUAGGGAAGAACAAAAGUAUAUUUAACUAUGCACGUCCUGACGGUACCUAAUCAGAAAGCCACGGCUAACUACGUG
Molecule: ribosomal RNA, 497 nt
Filed under: uncultured bacterium
Lineage: Bacteria
Description: partial 16S ribosomal RNA
Rfam family: Bacterial small subunit ribosomal RNA
Source: RNAcentral